This 87-nucleotide transfer RNA is filed under the name Thermocladium sp. ECH_B. RNAcentral describes it as "tRNA-Ser". It matches the Rfam family "tRNA". From Rfam's summary of the family: Transfer RNA (tRNA) molecules are approximately 80 nucleotides in length. Their secondary structure includes four short double-helical elements and three loops (D, anti-codon, and T loops). RNAcentral also lists the same sequence under 1 other name. Lineage: Archaea; Thermoproteati; Thermoproteota; Thermoprotei; Thermoproteales; Thermoproteaceae. The record is from RNAcentral.
GCCGGGGUGGCCGAGCGGCCCAAGGCGUGGGACUGGAGAUCCCAUCCCCGAAAGGGGGCCCGGGUUCAAAUCCCGGCCCCGGCGCCA